ACGGGUGAGGAACACAUCGGAAUCUGCCCGGUUGUGGGGGAUAACGUAGGGAAACUUACGCUAAUACCGCAUACGAUCGAGAGAUGAAAGCGGGGGACCGUAAGGCCUCGCGCAGUCGGAUGAGCCGAUGUCGGAUUAGCUAGUUGGUGGGGUAAAGGCCUACCAAGGCGACGAUCCGUAGCUGGUCUGAGAGGAUGAUCAGCCACACUGGGACUGAGACACGGCCCAGACUCCUACGGGAGGCAGCAGUGGGGAAUAUUGGACAAUGGGGGCAACCCUGAUCCAGCAAUGCCGCGUGUGUGAAGAAGGCCUUCGGGUUGUAAAGCACUUUUAUCCGGAACGAAACGUGUCGGGUUAACAGCCCGGCAAACUGACGGUACCGGAGGAAUAAGCACCGGCUAACUUCGUGCCAGCAGCCGCGGUAAUACGAAGGGUGCAAGCGUUACUCGGAAUUACUGGGCGUAAAGGGUGCGUAGGUGGUUUGUUAAGUCUGCUGUGAAAUCCCCGGGCUCAACCUGGGAAUGGCAGUGGAUACUGGCAAGCUGGAGUGCGGUAGAGGGUAGUGGAAUUCCCGG
This 575-nucleotide ribosomal RNA is filed under the name uncultured Lysobacteraceae bacterium. RNAcentral describes it as "bacterial SSU rRNA". It matches the Rfam family "Bacterial small subunit ribosomal RNA", at positions 102 to 673 of the family's 1533-position model. The record is from RNAcentral. Lineage: Bacteria; Pseudomonadati; Pseudomonadota; Gammaproteobacteria; Lysobacterales; Lysobacteraceae.